Long non-coding RNA from Mangifera indica (mango), 413 nucleotides. RefSeq lists it as uncharacterized. Lineage: Eukaryota; Viridiplantae; Streptophyta; Magnoliopsida; Sapindales; Anacardiaceae. The record is from RefSeq and is a predicted model, not a curated record. The transcript has 3 exons.
AGAUGUUUAAGGAGAAGAAGUCAUCAAGGGAGAGUUUCGUCUGUGGAGCUUGCGGUGAGGGUUGUUGAUAGGAGAAUCUUCAGCAUACGUGAUGUGUUAUGCAAAUUGCCUGGCUGAAUGUCUCGUAUCGAAAACACUUCCACCUUUUUGUGCAUAUAAGUGCUUGAAAGAGUGUUCAACUCCAACCGAUAUUGCCAAACUCAAUUGUGCAAUAUCUAAAUGCAUCAACAUCAAUAUCACAGAUCAUGCUGCGUUGGACCAACACAAAGCUUGCUUGGAUUCAUGCAGAAUGAUGGACAAAAACUAAUUGCCUGCCUGCCUAAUAAAAAGCCACUACUGCUUAUUGUUUUUAAAUUGUAAUUGCUUUGUUAUUGAAUGAAUAAAGUUAUAAAUAAAACUUUUAUCUGGAAACA